UUUUUUUUAAACCAAGGAGUACCCAUAAAGUCAACACUUCUCCACUACCGCUAUACCUAGAUAGAAAGCAAUAGGGGCACGGGCUAGUGUAAAUUAUGUUUCUAUAAUUUAUAAAUUAUCUCAAAUAAGAUAUCUAAAACAUAUUUUUUUUUAUACAAAAUAUAUGUUUAUUUGGCAUUUAGUUAAAUAAUUUACUGCUUAAUUUGUUAAGCAAAUGAGCUAGUUUGCAAUUAUUAUGUAAACUUAAGGGACCACUCUAGGCACCCAGACCACUUCAGCUUAAUGAAGUGGUCUGGGUGCCUGGUCCCUCUAGGAUUAACCUUUUUUUUUAAUAAACAUAGCAGUUUAUAAAUGGGUUAAUCCAGCCUCUAAAGCCUCUAGUGGCUGUCUCAUUGACAGCUGCUUGAGGUGUUUGCGUGCUUCUCACUGUGAAAAUCACAGUGAGAAGACGCAAGCGUCCAUAGGAAAGCAUUAUAAAUGCUUUCCUAUGAGACUGGCUGAAUGCGCGCGCAGCUCCUGCCGCGCAUGCGCAUUCAGCCGAAGAGGCGGAGAGGAGGAGGAGAGCUCCCCGCCUGGCGCUGAAAAAAAAGGUAAGAUUUAACCCUUUCCUCGCCAUCCAGCCCGGCGGGAGGGAGUCCCCGAGGGUGGGGGCACCCUCAGGGCACUAUUGUGCCAGGAAAACGAGUAUGUUUUCCUGGCACUAUAGUGGUCCUUUAAUAGAUAAUCCAUCCUUCAUAUUUAAUUUCAGUUUUAUAUAUUGUCAAAAAUUAAAUUGUUACAACAAUAUUGCCUGACCAUCUUUUCUGACAUAAUGAAUAAACCCUUACUUUCAUAUGCACAAUUUGUUUCCUUUCUAUAUCAAAAUUCAGUUAUUUUACAUUUGUUUUAUACUUUCAAAGCAUUAUGAAUAGUGAUGUCCCGAACGGUUCGCCGUACGGUUCGCCGAACGCUUCGCUGUGGACGGCGAACAUAAACAUAAACUUUGACCCUGUACCUCACAGUCAGCAGACACAUUCCAGCCAAUCAGCAGCAGACCCUCCCUCCCAGACCCUCCCACCUCCUGGACAGCAUCCAUUUUAUAUUCAUUG
Pelobates cultripes (western spadefoot toad) is the source of this 1088-nucleotide non-coding RNA. The record is from the annotation of a GenBank genome assembly. NCBI's taxonomy places the organism in Eukaryota, Metazoa, Chordata, Amphibia, Anura, Pelobatidae.